This 382-nucleotide long non-coding RNA is filed under the name Prunus persica (peach). Its description in RNAcentral is "long non-coding RNA (PPER_LNC003276)". Lineage: Eukaryota; Viridiplantae; Streptophyta; Magnoliopsida; Rosales; Rosaceae. The record is from RNAcentral.
GAACUUUGAAUGUUUGAAACAUUGGAAAGACAACUACCACAACAGUAAGAGGUUUUUUUUUUUUGGGUCAACUAGACUAACAUUUUUGGGAGUGCUUCUGGAGGAGCUAAAAACACUUUAUGACAACCAAAACCACUUCUCUGACUGCGUUUGGUUGGAAAAUGAAGAAGUAGUGUUUCUGAAUCGUAGAAUCACUUUCUAGAGAAACACUUGUUGUGUGCUUUUUCAAGAUGCACUCUCAAGUGCAUUUCUAGAAAGCACUUAAAUUUAUUACGAAAAUUUUAGCCCUUUUGUAAUAAAAGUGCUAUUGUUAGAAGUGCUUUAUAAAUAGAAGUGUCUCUUAAAGAAGCAGUCUCAAAUGAACCCUAAGAAUUAGUUGAUG